AUUGAACGCUGGCGGCAGGCUUAACACAUGCAAGUCGAGCGGGGAAAGGUAGCUUGCUACCUGACCUAGCGGCGGACGGGUGAGUAAUGCUUAGGAAUCUGCCUAUUAGUGGGGGACAACAUCUCGAAAGGGAUGCUAAUACCGCAUACGUCCUACGGGAGAAAGCAGGGGACCUUCGGGCCUUGCGCUAAUAGAUGAGCCUAAGUCGGAUUAGCUAGUUGGUGGGGUAAAGGCCUACCAAGGCGACGAUCUGUAGCGGGUCUGAGAGGAUGAUCCGCCACACUGGGACUGAGACACGGCCCAGACUCCUGCGGGAGGCAGCAGUGGGGAAUAUUGGACAAUGGGGGGAACCCUGAUCCAGCCAUGCCGCGUGUGUGAAGAAGGCCUUGUGGUUGUAAAGCACUUUAAGCGAGGAGGAGGCUACCGAGAUUAAUACUCUUGGAUAGUGGACGUUACUCGCAGAAUAAGCACCGGCUAACUCUGU
This 484-nucleotide ribosomal RNA is filed under the name uncultured bacterium. RNAcentral describes it as "partial 16S ribosomal RNA". It matches the Rfam family "Bacterial small subunit ribosomal RNA", at positions 30 to 506 of the family's 1533-position model. The record is from RNAcentral.